CCUACGGGGGGCAGCAGUGGGGGAUAUUGCACAAUGGGGGAAACCCUGAUGCAGCGACGCCGCGUGUGGGAAGACGGUCCUCUGGAUUGUAAACCACUGUCCCCAGGGACGAAGAUGACGGUACCUGGGGAGGAAGCUCCGGCUAACUACGUGCCAGCAGCCGCGGUACUACGUAGGGAGCGAGCGUUGUCCGGAAUUACUGGGUGUAAAGGGAGCGUAGGCGGGACUGCAAGUUGGGUGUCAAAUCUACCGGCUCAACCGGUAGCCGCACUCAAAACUGCAGUUCUUGAGUGAAGUAGAGGCAGGCGGAAUGCCUAGUGUAGCGGUGAAAUGCGUAGAUAUUAGGAGGAACACCAGUGGCGAAGGCGGCCUGCUGGGCUUUUACUGACGCUGAGGCUCGAAAGUGUGGGGAGCAAACAGGAUUAGAUACCCGGGUAGUC
RNAcentral lists this ribosomal RNA (440 nucleotides) under uncultured bacterium. Its description in RNAcentral is "partial 16S ribosomal RNA". It matches the Rfam family "Bacterial small subunit ribosomal RNA", at positions 338 to 795 of the family's 1533-position model. The record is from RNAcentral.